This 617-nucleotide ribosomal RNA is filed under the name Chryseobacterium sp. N39. Its description in RNAcentral is "bacterial SSU rRNA". It matches the Rfam family "Bacterial small subunit ribosomal RNA", at positions 47 to 663 of the family's 1533-position model. Lineage: Bacteria; Pseudomonadati; Bacteroidota; Flavobacteriia; Flavobacteriales; Weeksellaceae. The record is from RNAcentral.
CCUAACACAUGCAAGCCGAGCGGUAGAGAUUCUUCGGGAAUUUUGAGAGCGGCGUACGGGUGCGGAACACGUGUGCAACCUGCCUUUAUCAGGGGGAUAGCCUUUCGAAAGGAAGAUUAAUACCCCAUAAUAUUUAGAAUGGCAUCAUUUUAAAUUGAAAACUCCGGUGGAUAGAGAUGGGCACGCGCAAGAUUAGAUAGUUGGUGAGGUAACGGCUCACCAAGUCUACGAUCUUUAGGGGGCCUGAGAGGGUGAUCCCCCACACUGGUACUGAGACACGGACCAGACUCCUACGGGAGGCAGCAGUGAGGAAUAUUGGACAAUGGGUGCGAGCCUGAUCCAGCCAUCCCGCGUGAAGGACGACGGCCCUAUGGGUUGUAAACUUCUUUUGUAUAGGGAUAAACCUAGAUACGUGUAUCUAGCUGAAGGUACUAUACGAAUAAGCACCGGCUAACUCCGUGCCAGCAGCCGCGGUAAUACGGAGGGUGCAAGCGUUAUCCGGAUUUAUUGGGUUUAAAGGGUCCGUAGGCGGAUCUGUAAGUCAGUGGUGAAAUCUCACAGCUUAACUGUGAAACUGCCAUUGAUACUGCAGGUCUUGAGUGUUGUUGAAGUAGCUG